CUGGCUCAGGACGAACGCUGGCGGCGUGCCUAAUACAUGCAAGUCGAACGGUCUUUCUAUGGAAGCUUGCUUCCACUGAAAAGAUAGUGGCGAACGGGUGAGUAACACGUGGGGUAACCUGCCCAUAAGAGGGGGGAUAACAUCCGGAAACGGGUGCUAAUACCGCAUAGUUUUCUUGAUCGCAUGAUCGGGAAAGGAAAGACGGCCUUUGUGCUGUCGCUUAUGGAUGGACCCGCGGCGUAUUAGUUAGUUGGUGAGGUAACGGCUCACCAAGACGAUGAUACGUAGCCGACCUGAGAGGGUGAUCGGCCACAUUGGGACUGAGACACGGCCCAAACUCCUACGGGAGGCAGCAGUAGGGAAUCUUCCGCAAUGGACGAAAGUCUGACGGAGCAACGCCGCGUGAGUGAAAGAAGGUUUUCGGAUCGUAAAACUCUGUUGUCAGAGAAGAACAAGUUGGAGAGUAACUGCUCCAGCCUUGACGGUAUCUGACCAGAAAGCCACGGCUAACUACGUGCCAGCCGCCGC
This 528-nucleotide ribosomal RNA is filed under the name uncultured bacterium. RNAcentral describes it as "bacterial SSU rRNA". It matches the Rfam family "Bacterial small subunit ribosomal RNA", at positions 19 to 518 of the family's 1533-position model. The record is from RNAcentral.